GGUUGGAUGGCCGAGUGGUCUAAGGCGCCAGAUUCAGGAUCAGCAUCCUAUUGGGUGUGUCUCAUGUGCUUUUAUGUACAUUCUGGUCUUCACGGGCGUGGGUUCGAAUCCCACUCCAAUCA
Mycena leptocephala is the source of this 122-nucleotide non-coding RNA. Lineage: Eukaryota; Fungi; Basidiomycota; Agaricomycetes; Agaricales; Mycenaceae. The record is from the annotation of a GenBank genome assembly.